Molecule: long non-coding RNA, 741 nt
Filed under: Sus scrofa (pig)
Lineage: Eukaryota; Metazoa; Chordata; Mammalia; Artiodactyla; Suidae
Description: lncRNA (ENSSSCG00070001299.1)
Source: RNAcentral
CUAAGCAAAAGCUAUGGUCGUGUCUUCAUGGUGUCGUGAACUCAGAGGAGGACGUGAAAUGAUUUGCAUAAGGAAUAUCAUUGAUCAGAAAGCUCCUAGAGUCCAAACAUGAGGCGCAGGGCUGGACAUGACACAAAAGACCCCAAACAGGAGCUCUCCGUGGCCAGACCUGCGGGACUAGAAAAGUCAAAUAAGAUGUUGUUUCUCCCCCUUGUGAGCUACGAAUGAAAGCAGAUACAUCCGGAUGCAGCCCUCGAGGUGCUGUGGUGGCUGGUGUGAACUGACUCACUCGACUUUGUCUUCCUUCUUUCUGGUGGCUGUGUCGUGUUUUCUCGAACGUCUCUCAGCAUGUGUCUUCCUCACUCCAGAACGCUGCCGCAGCUCACGGACCUCUUAAAGUCUUCUUUUGAACUCGGGUGCAAUAUAAAUAAAGAGCUGAUGGAAACCCUCAGCAGUGAGAAGCUACCUUGGCAUCAUCUAUGGAGGAGGCCUUACCUGAGAGCGGAGGCUGGAAAGGACAUGCCCACAGCCGUGCCCGUCUGUGGCCUGGGUACCGUUCUCCCCCAAAUUCUGGACCCACACGGAUCCCAAGACCUCCUGGAGGAACACUCUUCUAAUACUACGGACCUGUCUGCACACGGCGGUGGACGUGUUCCUGGCGGGUUUAUUUCCGCUCUGGAUGGAAAAGUCCAGUUGAGAGAGAGAGAGGUUGUGAAAACAGGAGACGGAAGAAAUAAUUAA